Molecule: ribosomal RNA, 513 nt
Filed under: uncultured Gram-positive bacterium
Lineage: Bacteria
Description: bacterial SSU rRNA
Rfam family: Bacterial small subunit ribosomal RNA
Source: RNAcentral
AGAGUUUGAUCCUGGCUCAGGAUGAACGCUGGCGGCGUGCUUAACACAUGCAAGUCGAACGAAGCACUUAUCUUUGAUUCUUCGGAUGAAGAGAUUUGUGACUGAGUGGCGGACGGGUGAGUAACGCGUGGGUAACCUGCCUCAUACAGGGGGAUAACAGUUAGAAAUGACUGCUAAUACCGCAUAAGACCACGGAGCCGCAUGGCUCAGUGGGAAAAACUCCGGUGGUAUGAGAUGGACCCGCGUCUGAUUAGGUAGUUGGUGGGGUAACGGCCUACCAAGCCAACGAUCAGUAGCCGGCCUGAGAGGGUGACCGGCCACAUUUGGACUGAGACACGGCCCAAACUCCUACGGGAGGCAGCAGUGGGGAAUAUUGCACAAUGGGGGAAACCCUGAUGCAGCGACGCCGCGUGAGCGAAGAAGUAUUUCGGUAUGUAAAGCUCUAUCAGCAGGGAAGAAAAUGACGGUACCUGACUAAGAAGCACCGGCUAAAUACGUGCCAGCAGCCGCGGU